Molecule: ribosomal RNA, 504 nt
Filed under: uncultured bacterium
Lineage: Bacteria
Description: bacterial SSU rRNA
Rfam family: Bacterial small subunit ribosomal RNA
Source: RNAcentral
UCAGGAUGAACGCUAGCUACAGGCUUAACACAUGCAAGUCGAGGGGCAGCAUGAUCGAAGCUUGCUUGAUGAUGGCGACCGGCGCACGGGUGAGUAACGCGUAUCCAACCUUCCCUAUAGUAGAGGAUAGCCCGGCGAAAGUCGGAUUAAUACUCUAUGUUUUCCAAUGCAGACAUCUAAAAUGGAACAAAGGUUUACCGCUAUAGGAUGGGGAUGCGUCUGAUUAGGUUGUUGGCGGGGUAACGGCCCACCAAGCCUACGAUCAGUAGGGGUUCUGAGAGGAAGGUCCCCCACAUUGGAACUGAGACACGGUCCAAACUCCUACGGGAGGCAGCAGUGAGGAAUAUUGGUCAAUGGGCGAGAGCCUGAACCAGCCAAGUAGCGUGCAGGAAUGACGGCCCUAUGGGUUGUAAACUGCUUUUAUACAGGGAUAAAGUGCGCCACGUGUGGCGCUUUGUAGGUACUGUAUGAAUAAGGACCGGCUAAUUCCGUGCCAGCCGCUGC